GAUGAACGCUAGCGGCAGGCUUAACACAUGCAAGUCGAAGGGCAGCAUAAAUAGUAGCAAUACUAUUGGUGGCGACCGGCGGACGGGUGCGUGACGCGUAUACAACCUUCCCUAAACAGGGGGAUAAUCUGGAGAAAUUCGGUCUAAUACCCCAUAACAUCAGAGCAGGCAUCUGUUUUGGUUAAAACUUCCGGAGGUUUAGGAUGGGUAUGCGUAGCAUUAGCUAGUUGGUGAGGUAACGGCUCACCAAGGCGACGAUGCUUAGGGGGACUGAGAGGUUAACCCCCCACACUGGUACUGAGACACGGACCAGACUCCUACGGGAGGCAGCAGUGAGGAAUAUUGGUCAAUGGGCGGAAGCCUGAACCAGCCAUGCCGCGUGCAGGAUGACGGCUCUAUGAGUUGUAGACUGCUUUUGUACGAGGGUAAAGUGGGCUACGUGUAGCCUUUUGAAAGUAUCGUACGAAUAAGGAUCGGCUAACUCCGUGCCAGCCGCCGCAGUAA
RNAcentral lists this ribosomal RNA (504 nucleotides) under uncultured bacterium. RNAcentral's name for it is "partial 16S ribosomal RNA". It matches the Rfam family "Bacterial small subunit ribosomal RNA", at positions 28 to 523 of the family's 1533-position model. The record is from RNAcentral.